This 128-nucleotide ribosomal RNA is filed under the name uncultured eukaryote. RNAcentral's name for it is "partial small subunit ribosomal RNA". It matches the Rfam family "Eukaryotic small subunit ribosomal RNA", at positions 1651 to 1777 of the family's 1831-position model. The record is from RNAcentral.
CCCUGCCCUUUGUACACACCGCCCGUCGCUCCUACCGAUUGAAUGUUCCGGUGAGUGCCUCGGAGAUAUGACCUGCAUUGCUUGUAAUCAGGUCCUAUGUCGAAGUUGUGCAAACCUUAACAUUUAGA